AUGGCGCCCAAGGCCGAGAAGAAGCCAGCCGCAGAGAAGAAGCCCAAGGCGGAGAAGCGCGUGCCCGGGAAGGAGGGCGACACUAAGAAGAAGAAGGCCAAGAAGAGCAACGAGACGUACAAGAUCUACAUCUUCAAGGUGCUCAAGCAGAUUGACCCGAACAUGGGUAUCUCCUCCAAAUCAAUGUCCAUCAUCAACGACAUCUUCGAGAAGCUCGCCGGCGAGUCGGCAAAGCUCGCACGCUACAACAAGAAGCCCACCAUCACCUCCCGGGAGAUCCAGACUGCUGUGCGCCUUGUCUUUCCAGGCGAGCUUGCCAAGCACGCCGUCUCCGAGGGAACCAAGGCCGUUACCAGAUUCACCGUGUAUUAG
Molecule: ribosomal RNA, 372 nt
Filed under: Triticum aestivum (bread wheat)
Lineage: Eukaryota; Viridiplantae; Streptophyta; Magnoliopsida; Poales; Poaceae
Description: partial small subunit ribosomal RNA
Source: RNAcentral